This 738-nucleotide ribosomal RNA is filed under the name uncultured bacterium. RNAcentral's name for it is "bacterial SSU rRNA". It matches the Rfam family "Bacterial small subunit ribosomal RNA", at positions 34 to 766 of the family's 1533-position model. The record is from RNAcentral.
CGCUGCGGCAGGCUUAAUACAUGCAAGUCGAACGGUAACAGUCCCGGCAACGGGAGCUGACGAGUGGCGCACGGGUGCGUAACACGUAUGCAACCUACCCUUUACCGGGGAAUAACCCUGAGAAAUCGGGGCUAAUACCCCAUAGUAUUGCGACAAGGCAUCUUGUUUUGAUUAAAGAUUUAUCGGUAAGGGAUGGGCAUGCGCCCCAUUAGUUAGUUGGUGAGGUAACGGCUCACCAAGGCGAUGAUGGGUAGGGGUUCUGAGAGGAUUAUCCCCCACACUGGUACUGAGACACGGACCAGACUCCUACGGGAGGCAGCAGUAAGGAAUAUUGGGCAAUGGAGGCAACUCUGACCCAGCCAUGCCGCGUGCAGGAAGACUGCCCUAUGGGUUGUAAACUGCUUUUCUGCGGGAUUAAUAUCAUCCACGAGUUGGGUGGAUGCAUGUACCGUAUGAAUAAGCAUCGGCUAACUCCGUGCCAGCAGCCGCGGUAAUACGGAGGAUGCGAGCGUUAUCCGGAAUUAUUGGGUUUAAAGGGUGCGUAGGCUGACAAGUAAGUCAGUGGUGAAAUAUUCCGGCUCAACCGGGAGGCUGCCAUUGAUACUGUUUGUCUGGAGUGUAUUGGAAGUGAGCGGAAACGAGGGGUGUAGCGGUGAAAUGCAUAGAUAUUCCUCAGAACACCGAUAGCGAAGGCAGCUCACUACGAUAUAACUGACGCUGAGGCACGAAAGCGUGGGG